RNAcentral lists this ribosomal RNA (229 nucleotides) under uncultured eukaryote. RNAcentral describes it as "partial 18S ribosomal RNA". It matches the Rfam family "Eukaryotic small subunit ribosomal RNA", at positions 1208 to 1456 of the family's 1831-position model. The record is from RNAcentral.
UGAAAUCUCACCAGGCCCGGACACUGGAAGGAUUGACAGAUUGAUAGCUCUUUCUUGAUUCGGUGCGUGGUGGUGCAUGGCCGUUCUUAGUUGGUUGAGUGAUUUGUCUUGUUAAUUCCGAUAACGAACGAGACUCUGUCCUGCUAAAUAGUGUCUGCUUCUCUUUCGAGCAGACAAUUCUUCUUAGAGGGACUAUCGGAUUCAAACCGAUGGAAGUGUGAGGCAAUAA